This 506-nucleotide ribosomal RNA is filed under the name uncultured bacterium. RNAcentral's name for it is "partial 16S ribosomal RNA". It matches the Rfam family "Bacterial small subunit ribosomal RNA", at positions 30 to 523 of the family's 1533-position model. The record is from RNAcentral.
AUUGAACGCUGGCGGCAGGCCUAACACAUGCAAGUCGAACGGUAACAGGAAGCAGCUUGCUGCUUCGCUGACGAGUGGCGGACGGGUGAGUAAUGUCUGGGAAACUGCCUGGUGGAGGGGGAUAACUACUGGAAACGGUAGCUAAUACCGCAUAACGUCGCAAGACCAAAGAGGGGGACCUUCGGGCCUCUUGCCAUCGGAUGUGCCCAGAUGGGAUUAGCUAGUAGGUGGGGUAACGGCUCACCUAGGCGACGAUCCCUAGAUGGUCUGAGGGGAUGACCAGCCACACUGGAACUGAGACACGGUCCAGACUCCUACGGGAGGCAGCAGUGGGGAAUAUUGCACAAUGGGCGCAAGCCUGAUGCAGCCAUGCCGCGUGUAUGAAGAAGGCCUUCGGGUUGUAAAGUACUUUCAGCGGGGAGGAAGGCGAUAAGGUUAAUAACCUUGUCGAUUGACGUUACCCGCAGAAGAAGCACCGGCUAACUCCGUGCCAGCCGCCGCGGUAA